This 2565-nucleotide ribosomal RNA is filed under the name Escherichia coli. RNAcentral's name for it is "partial 23S ribosomal RNA". It matches the Rfam family "Bacterial large subunit ribosomal RNA", at positions 397 to 2925 of the family's 2925-position model. Lineage: Bacteria; Pseudomonadati; Pseudomonadota; Gammaproteobacteria; Enterobacterales; Enterobacteriaceae. The record is from RNAcentral.
CUGUGAGCUCGAUGAGUAGGGCGGGACACGUGGUAUCCUGUCUGAAUAUGGGGGGACCAUCCUCCAAGGCUAAAUACUCCUGACUGACCGAUAGUGAACCAGUACCGUGAGGGAAAGGCGAAAAGAACCCCGGCGAGGGGAGUGAAAAAGAACCUGAAACCGUGUACGUACAAGCAGUGGGAGCACGCUUAGGCGUGUGACUGCGUACCUUUUGUAUAAUGGGUCAGCGACUUAUAUUCUGUAGCAAGGUUAACCGAAUAGGGGAGCCGAAGGGAAACCGAGUCUUAACUGGGCGUUAAGUUGCAGGGUAUAGACCCGAAACCCGGUGAUCUAGCCAUGGGCAGGUUGAAGGUUGGGUAACACUAACUGGAGGACCGAACCGACUAAUGUUGAAAAAUUAGCGGAUGACUUGUGGCUGGGGGUGAAAGGCCAAUCAAACCGGGAGAUAGCUGGUUCUCCCCGAAAGCUAUUUAGGUAGCGCCUCGUGAAUUCAUCUCCGGGGGUAGAGCACUGUUUCGGCAAGGGGGUCAUCCCGACUUACCAACCCGAUGCAAACUGCGAAUACCGGAGAAUGUUAUCACGGGAGACACACGGCGGGUGCUAACGUCCGUCGUGAAGAGGGAAACAACCCAGACCGCCAGCUAAGGUCCCAAAGUCAUGGUUAAGUGGGAAACGAUGUGGGAAGGCCCAGACAGCCAGGAUGUUGGCUUAGAAGCAGCCAUCAUUUAAAGAAAGCGUAAUAGCUCACUGGUCGAGUCGGCCUGCGCGGAAGAUGUAACGGGGCUAAACCAUGCACCGAAGCUGCGGCAGCGACGCUUAUGCGUUGUUGGGUAGGGGAGCGUUCUGUAAGCCUGCGAAGGUGUGCUGUGAGGCAUGCUGGAGGUAUCAGAAGUGCGAAUGCUGACAUAAGUAACGAUAAAGCGGGUGAAAAGCCCGCUCGCCGGAAGACCAAGGGUUCCUGUCCAACGUUAAUCGGGGCAGGGUGAGUCGACCCCUAAGGCGAGGCCGAAAGGCGUAGUCGAUGGGAAACAGGUUAAUAUUCCUGUACUUGGUGUUACUGCGAAGGGGGGACGGAGAAGGCUAUGUUGGCCGGGCGACGGUUGUCCCGGUUUAAGCGUGUAGGCUGGUUUUCCAGGCAAAUCCGGAAAAUCAAGGCUGAGGCGUGAUGACGAGGCACUACGGUGCUGAAGCAACAAAUGCCCUGCUUCCAGGAAAAGCCUCUAAGCAUCAGGUAACAUCAAAUCGUACCCCAAACCGACACAGGUGGUCAGGUAGAGAAUACCAAGGCGCUUGAGAGAACUCGGGUGAAGGAACUAGGCAAAAUGGUGCCGUAACUUCGGGAGAAGGCACGCUGAUAUGUAGGUGAAGUCCCUCGCGGAUGGAGCUGAAAUCAGUCGAAGAUACCAGCUGGCUGCAACUGUUUAUUAAAAACACAGCACUGUGCAAACACGAAAGUGGACGUAUACGGUGUGACGCCUGCCCGGUGCCGGAAGGUUAAUUGAUGGGGUCAGCGCAAGCGAAGCUCUUGAUCGAAGCCCCGGUAAACGGCGGCCGUAACUAUAACGGUCCUAAGGUAGCGAAAUUCCUUGUCGGGUAAGUUCCGACCUGCACGAAUGGCGUAAUGAUGGCCAGGCUGUCUCCACCCGAGACUCAGUGAAAUUGAACUCGCUGUGAAGAUGCAGUGUACCCGCGGCAAGACGGAAAGACCCCGUGAACCUUUACUAUAGCUUGACACUGAACAUUGAGCCUUGAUGUGUAGGAUAGGUGGGAGGCUUUGAAGUGUGGACGCCAGUCUGCAUGGAGCCGACCUUGAAAUACCACCCUUUAAUGUUUGAUGUUCUAACGUUGACCCGUAAUCCGGGUUGCGGACAGUGUCUGGUGGGUAGUUUGACUGGGGCGGUCUCCUCCUAAAGAGUAACGGAGGAGCACGAAGGUUGGCUAAUCCUGGUCGGACAUCAGGAGGUUAGUGCAAUGGCAUAAGCCAGCUUGACUGCGAGCGUGACGGCGCGAGCAGGUGCGAAAGCAGGUCAUAGUGAUCCGGUGGUUCUGAAUGGAAGGGCCAUCGCUCAACGGAUAAAAGGUACUCCGGGGAUAACAGGCUGAUACCGCCCAAGAGUUCAUAUCGACGGCGGUGUUUGGCACCUCGAUGUCGGCUCAUCACAUCCUGGGGCUGAAGUAGGUCCCAAGGGUAUGGCUGUUCGCCAUUUAAAGUGGUACGCGAGCUGGGUUUAGAACGUCGUGAGACAGUUCGGUCCCUAUCUGCCGUGGGCGCUGGAGAACUGAGGGGGGCUGCUCCUAGUACGAGAGGACCGGAGUGGACGCAUCACUGGUGUUCGGGUUGUCAUGCCAAUGGCACUGCCCGGUAGCUAAAUGCGGAAGAGAUAAGUGCUGAAAGCAUCUAAGCACGAAACUUGCCCCGAGAUGAGUUCUCCCUGACUCCUUGAGAGUCCUGAAGGAACGUUGAAGACGACGACGUUGAUAGGCCGGGUGUGUAAGCGCAGCGAUGCGUUGAGCUAACCGGUACUAAUGAACCGUGAGGCUUAACCUUACAACGCCGAAGCUGUU